RNAcentral lists this transfer RNA (46 nucleotides) under Pseudomonas sp. NFACC52. Its description in RNAcentral is "tRNA_Val_GAC". Lineage: Bacteria; Pseudomonadati; Pseudomonadota; Gammaproteobacteria; Pseudomonadales; Pseudomonadaceae. The record is from RNAcentral.
CACCUUGACAUGGUGGGGGUCGUUGGUUCGAGUCCAAUCGCGCCUA